RNAcentral lists this long non-coding RNA (388 nucleotides) under Rattus norvegicus (Norway rat). RNAcentral's name for it is "long non-coding RNA NONRATT023368". Lineage: Eukaryota; Metazoa; Chordata; Mammalia; Rodentia; Muridae. The record is from RNAcentral.
ACAGUCACCCCAGUCAUCCUGGGCGACACUUGACACAGAUCCUCUUCGUCUUGUCCUCUUGUUUUUCAGGCUGAGGAUGACCUGAACGUCUGAUCCUCCUUCGAAGCACCUCAUGGAGUGCUCAAAGACAUAUGCCACUACAUGGAGAUUUAUUCUGUACUAAGGAUCAGACUCAGCCUCAGGCAUACUGGAUGAGCUACAACCCCAGCCCCAAACAGUUCAUUUCCAGCUCAGCCAGAGAAAAGAACACUUCUAACGAUUGAUUGGCUAGUUAACUAAUUAUUUAGACAGGGCUUGUCUAGCUCAUGCCAGCCUGACUCACUAUAGUGUCCACAGCGAUCCCCCUGUCUCUACUGCCCAGUUGCUAGAUUAGAGGUACGAAUCACUA